AGAGUUUGAUCAUGGCUCAGGAUGAACGCUAGCGGCAGGCUUAAUACAUGCAAGUCGAGGGGCAGCACGGGUAGCAAUACCUGGUGGCGACCGGCAAACGGGUGCGGAACACGUACACAACCUUCCCUUGAGGCGGGGGAUAGCCCAGAGAAAUUUGGAUUAAUACCCCAUAAGAUAUUGUCCCGGCAUCGGGAAGAUAUUAAAGAUUUAUCACCUUAGGAUGGGUGUGCGUAUGAUUAGGUAGUUGGUGCGGGUAACGGCCCACCAAGCCAUCGAUCAUUAACUGGUGUGAGAGCACGACCAGUCACACGGGCACUGAGACACGGGCCCGACUCCUACGGGAGGCAGCAGUAAGGAAUAUUGGUCAAUGGACGGAAGUCUAAACCAGCCAUGCCGCGUGAAGGAUGACGGCCCUCUGGGUUGUAAACUUCUUUUAUCUGGGACGAAAAAGGGCCAUUCUUGGUCAACUGACGGUACCAGAGGAAUAAGCACCGGCUAACUCCGUGCCAGCAGCCGCGGUAAUACGGAGGGUGCAAGCGUUAUCCGGAUUUACUGGGUUUAAAGGGAGCGCAGGCGGAUUGGUAAGUCAGUGGUGAAAUACCCGUGCUUAACAUGGGAACUGCCAUUGAUACUAUCAGUCUUGAAUGUUGUUGAGGUUUGCGGAAUGGGUCAUGUAGCGGUGAAAUGCAUAGAUAUGACCCGGAACACCUAUUGCGAAGGCAGCAGGCUAAACAAAUAUUGACGCUGAGGCUCGAAAGCGUGGGGAUCAAACAGGAUUAGAUACCCUAGUAGUCC
RNAcentral lists this ribosomal RNA (795 nucleotides) under uncultured bacterium. RNAcentral describes it as "bacterial SSU rRNA". It matches the Rfam family "Bacterial small subunit ribosomal RNA", at positions 8 to 796 of the family's 1533-position model. The record is from RNAcentral.